UGGGUUGUGGCUCAGUGGUAGAGCGCUCGCAUAGCAAAUGUGAAGCACUGGGUUUGAUUCCCAGCAUCACAU
RNAcentral lists this transfer RNA (72 nucleotides) under Ictidomys tridecemlineatus (thirteen-lined ground squirrel). Its description in RNAcentral is "Spermophilus tridecemlineatus (thirteen-lined ground squirrel) tRNA". It matches the Rfam family "tRNA". Rfam says of the family: Transfer RNA (tRNA) molecules are approximately 80 nucleotides in length. The record is from Rfam by way of RNAcentral. Lineage: Eukaryota; Metazoa; Chordata; Mammalia; Rodentia; Sciuridae.